UACGAGGGGGGCUAGCGUUGUUCGGAAUCACUGGGCGUAAAGGGCGCGUAGGCGGCUUUAUAAGUCGGGGGUGAAAGCCUGUGGCUCAACCACAGAAUUGCCUUCGAUACUGUAGAGCUUGAGACCGGAAGAGGUAAGUGGAACUGCGAGUGUAGAGGUGAAAUUCGUAGAUAUUCGCAAGAACACCAGUGGCGAAGGCGGCAUCCUGGACCGGCAUUGACGCUGAGGCGCGAAAGCCAGGGGAGCAAACGGG
This 253-nucleotide ribosomal RNA is filed under the name uncultured bacterium. RNAcentral's name for it is "partial 16S ribosomal RNA". It matches the Rfam family "Bacterial small subunit ribosomal RNA", at positions 524 to 776 of the family's 1533-position model. The record is from RNAcentral.